ACUCUCGUACUCGUAUAUCAAUACCGGCUGCUUCAAGCCUCCUACCCGAUUGAAACUGCUGAGGACGGAAAAACCCUAAGGAAACCGGGGGAAAACAUAGGAAAAAUCAACGAAAAGAACAAAGAAAGACGGAAUAAAUCGAAAGUUAAAUCAACUGAUAAUGUCAGAUAUAGAGGAGUACCGCUGCUUUAUUGGGGGCCUGUCAUGGUCCACCACAGAUGAAAAUCUGAAGGAUGCAUUUGAAAAAUUUGGCCACCUUUCCGAGGCAAAGGUAGUUGUCGACAAGUUUUCUGGUCGAUCUCGUGGAUUCGGUUUUGUUACUUUUGAUGAGAAAACGGCCAUGGAAGAUGCUAUUGAAGCAAUGAAUGGAAUUGAUUUGGAUGGACGAUCUAUCACUGUAAAUAGAGCUCAGCCACAAGGAUCUUCUAGGGAUCGUAAUGGCGACCGUGAUUAUGAUCGUUACCAUGGUCGUGGUCGUGAUCGUGGCCGAGACUUUGGUGGAGGACGUGGUUCAAACAGUGGAGAGUGCUUCAAAUGUGGCAAGCCUGGGCAUUUUGCAAGGGAGUGCCCAUCUGGUGAUGGUGCAAGAGGAGAUAGGUAUGGUGGCCGGGAUGAUAGGUAUGGCAGUGGUGGCAGUGGUAAUAGUCGUUAUGGACCUGACCGUAAUGGGGACCGAUAUUCUGGGCGCAACAGGGAUGGGGGAGGCCGUAGCGGGCAAGGAAGUGAUCGAUAUAAUCGUGACCGGUCUGGUCCAUAUGAACGUCCCAGUGGAGGGGGUUACAGAUCUUGAGGAAGUGGUGCUUUUUUGCCAGGAUGCCAGUGGAGGAUUCAAUGGGAUGCUUUCAUUGAGUAGGAUUUUUGGUUAUAACUGCAAUUAAUUUGGAGCGUCUCUUUGUUGAGACUUGAAAAUAACCGAUUAUUCACACUCGAGAACUGCCUGAAAUAAUAGAGUAUCAGCAGUGGUCUCUUGUGCUGUUUUGAUCCCCCCAGAAGAUGGUUUGACCCUACUUGGUGGGAAGAAACCUGGCUACAGUUUGGCCUUUGUGGGCAUUUUGGAUUGAUGCUUGGGUUACUUGAUGCUAUUCUUGCUUAUUUGGACAUGGUUUUUUUGCACAUUACUGCUUAAGCUUUUCUGCAGCAGCAGUGAUCUCCUGCAACAUAGACAUGGAUUGAUAUGGUCUGAAACUUUUACCUUUUUUAUCAAAGGAGAUUCCUUCCUGCAUAUGAUGCUGUGCUGCAACUUUUGUCAAGAUCUUUGACAGACUCAGCAGUCAUCGUAGGUGUGUUACUGUUCUUUUUUAUGAUUUUCGAUCAGACAAGAUUUUACAAUGAGUCAUCCUACUCAAUGAUCUGGUCAUGAUUCCUGGGUUUCUCAACAGAGCUUCAGUGACCAAGUCAUCCUGUUUGGUCAACUAUGGUUCUCUCAGUUUCACAGUUUCUUUUUGUAUCUAUUUGCUAUCUCUAGAACUUCAAGCCAACAAUUUCGCUUUGUGAAGGCUGUCGGUCGUUCCUUGGGUCAUUCUGGAAUUUGUCAUUUUGUUUUGCGAAAUAACAUAUUUGCUAGAUAUUGGGAUUUGCAAACGCAAGAUGCUCUAUGACAGUCUAUGAGAAUCUGUAACAUAAGAAUUUAUGUUAAUCUGGAUCCAGGAUCGUAAUUGAAGAGACCAUUUUGCAUGUCCA
This is an RNA transcript of Elaeis guineensis (African oil palm), 1680 nucleotides long. It is a transcript of the gene named glycine-rich RNA-binding protein RZ1A, with no coding region annotated. The record is from RefSeq and is a predicted model, not a curated record. NCBI's taxonomy places the organism in Eukaryota, Viridiplantae, Streptophyta, Magnoliopsida, Arecales, Arecaceae.